RNAcentral lists this ribosomal RNA (445 nucleotides) under uncultured bacterium. Its description in RNAcentral is "bacterial SSU rRNA". It matches the Rfam family "Bacterial small subunit ribosomal RNA", at positions 328 to 793 of the family's 1533-position model. The record is from RNAcentral.
CUCUGUGACUCCUACGGGAGGCAGCAGUGGGAAUAUUGCACAAUGGCGCAAGCCUGAUGCAGCAACGCCGCGUGAGCGAUGAAGGCCUUCGGGUCGUAAAGCUCUGUCCUCAAGGAAGAAUAAAUGACGGUACUUGAGGAGGAAGCCCCCGGCUAACUACGUGCCAGCAGCCGCGGUAAUACGUAGGGGCAAGCGUUAUCCGGAAUCACUGGGCGUAAAGGGUGCGUAGGCGGUUUUCAAGUCAGAAGUGAAAGGCUAUGGCUCAACCAUAGUAAGCUUUUGAAACUGUUAAACUUGAGUGCAGGAGAGGAAAGUGGAAUUCCUAGUGUAGAGGUGAAAUUCGUAGAUAUUAGGAGGAACACCAGUGGCGAAGGCGACUUCUGGACUGUAACUGACGCUGAGGCACGAAAGCGUGGGGAGCGAACAGGAUUAGAUACCCUGGUAG